RNAcentral lists this ribosomal RNA (401 nucleotides) under uncultured prokaryote. RNAcentral's name for it is "bacterial SSU rRNA". It matches the Rfam family "Bacterial small subunit ribosomal RNA", at positions 355 to 774 of the family's 1533-position model. The record is from RNAcentral.
UAGGGAAUAUUAGAAAUGGACGAAAGUCUGAUCUAGCAACACCGCGUGUGCGAAGAAGGCCUCGGGUCGUAAAGCACUUUUUGGAAGGAAUAGGAAGGAAUGUACUUCCAGAAUAAGUCUCGGCUAACUACGUGCCAGCAGCCGCGGUAACACGUAGGAGGCAAACGUUAUCCGGAUUUACUGGGCGUAAAGAGCGUGUAGGUGGUACUGUAAGUAGGGCGUGAAAGCUCCUGGCUCAACUGGGAGAGGCCGUUCUAAACUACAGAACUAGAGGAUGGUAGAGGGAGGUGGAAUUCCGGGUGUAGCGGUGGAAUGCGCCGAUAUCCGGAGGAACACCAGUGGCGCAAGCGGCCUCCUGGACCAUUCCUGACACUCAGACGCGAAAGCUAGGGUAGCAAACG